CGGGACGGGGUGGAGUAAUGUCUGGGAAACUGCCUGAUGGAGGGGGGUAACUACUGGAAACGGUAGCUAAUACCGCAUAACGUCGCAAGACCAAAGAGGGGGACCGUUAGGGCCUCUUGCCAUCGGAUGUGCCCAGAUGGGAUUAGCUAGUAGGUGGGGUAACGGCUCACCUAGGCGACGAUCCCUAGCUGGUCUGAGAGGAUGACCAGCCACACUGGAACUGAGACACGGUCCAG
RNAcentral lists this ribosomal RNA (236 nucleotides) under uncultured bacterium. RNAcentral's name for it is "partial 16S ribosomal RNA". It matches the Rfam family "Bacterial small subunit ribosomal RNA", at positions 104 to 334 of the family's 1533-position model. The record is from RNAcentral.